CAGUCUCAGAUCGAUGAAGAACGCAGCGAAAUGCGAUAAGUAGUGUGAAUUGCAGAAUUCAGUGAAUCAUCGAAUCUUUGAACGCACAUUGCGCCCCUUGGUAUCCCGAGGGGCAUGCCUGUUCGAGCGUCAUUUCACCACUCAAGCCUGGCUUGGUGUUGGGCGACGUCCCCUUUGGGGACGCGCCUCGAAACGCUCGGCGGCGUGGCACCGGCUUUAAGCGUAGCAGAAUCUUUCGCUUUGAAAGUCGGGGCCCCGUCUGCCGGAAGACCUACUCGCAAGGUUGACCUCGGAUCAGGCAGGGAUACCCGCUGAACUUAA
This 321-nucleotide ribosomal RNA is filed under the name uncultured Cenococcum. Its description in RNAcentral is "eukaryotic LSU rRNA". The stretch from base 4 to 132 matches the Rfam family "5.8S ribosomal RNA", at positions 26 to 154 of the family's 154-position model. Lineage: Eukaryota; Fungi; Ascomycota; Dothideomycetes; Gloniales; Gloniaceae. The record is from RNAcentral.